This 873-nucleotide ribosomal RNA is filed under the name uncultured archaeon. Its description in RNAcentral is "bacterial SSU rRNA". It matches the Rfam family "Archaeal small subunit ribosomal RNA", at positions 21 to 903 of the family's 1478-position model. The record is from RNAcentral.
CCCGACUGCUAUCAGAGUAGGACUAAGCCAUGCGAGUCGACGCUGCAAAGCGUGGCAUACGGCUCAGUAACACGUAGUCAACAUGCCCAAAGGACGUGGAUAACCUCGGGAAACUGAGGAUAAACCGCGAUAGGCCAAGGUUUCUGGAAUGAGCCAUGGCCGAAAUCUACAUGGCCUUUGGAUUGGACUGCGGCCGAUCAGGCUGUUGGUGAGGUAAUGGCCCACCAAACCUGUAACCGGUACGGGCUUUGAGAGAAGGAGCCCGGAGAUGGGCACUGAGACAAGGGCCCAGGCCCUAUGGGGCGCAGCAGGCGCGAAACCUCUGCAAUAGGCGAAAGCCUGACAGGGUUACUCUGAGUGAUGCCCGCUAAGGGUAUCUUUUGGCACCUCUAAAAAUGGUGCAGAAUAAGGGGUGGGCAAGUCUGGUGUCAGCCGCCGCGGUAAUACCAGCACCCCGAGUUGUCGGGACGAUUAUUGGGCCUAAAGCAUCCGUAGCCUGUUCUGCAAGUCCUCCGUUAAAUCCACCUGCUUAACGGAUGGGCUGCGGGGGAUACUGCAGAGCUAGGAGGCGGGAGAGGCAAACGGUACUCAGUGGGUAGGGGUAAAAUCCAUUGAUCUACUGAAGACCACCAGUGGCGAAGGCGGUUUGCCAGAACGCGCUCGACGGUGAGGGAUGAAAGCUGGGGGAGCAAACCGGAUUAGAUACCCGGGUAGUCCCAGCUGUAAACGAUGCAGACUCGGUGAUGGGUUGGCCUCGAGCCAACCCAGUGCCGCAGGGAAGCCGUUAAGUCUGCCGCCUGGGGAGUACGGUCGCAAGACUGAAACUUAAAGGAAUUGGCGGGGGAGCACCACAAGGGGUGAAGCCUGCGGUUC